This is a long non-coding RNA of Panicum virgatum (switchgrass), 2535 nucleotides long. RefSeq lists it as uncharacterized. The transcript is spliced from 3 exons. The record is from RefSeq and is a predicted model, not a curated record. NCBI's taxonomy places the organism in Eukaryota, Viridiplantae, Streptophyta, Magnoliopsida, Poales, Poaceae.
UCUACCCUCUCCUGUUUUUUCUCUUCUCCACGUAACAUCUUACUAGCUCCUCGUUGAUCAUAAUACUUGCUCUUAUCGACUCCCCAUCCUUCUUCUACCCGCACAUGCUCGUUGUUCUGCUCCUCAAUUCUCCUGCUCUGCUCUGCUCUGCUGAACUCUGCUCUGCCUUGCACGGUGAAGCCAGCACGCCUCCCUUCUUCUCUUCCCCACACCGAGAAAAUCCAAGCAAGCAGCUAUGGGCCUGAUUGGAUGGGUGGGUAAGGGUGCAGCCCGGCUUAGCUAAUGUAGAUCGGGUUUGUUUGGAUGUCUGUAGAGGCCUGCUAGCCAGAUUUUACCUAAUCCGCGCUGAAGCUGCUACCUUGGUCGCCUUCGUCCAGCACGGUGCUUUUGGUGAUCUUCCCCAACGCUGCAGCACAGCCAGACGCCCUGUUCCUUUCCUCUUCCUCUAUCUGUUCCUGCGACAGCAAGAAGAAAAACAGUAGAAGCAUUGAAAGGUGGGCCAAGGAGGAGUGAAGAGAGGGCGGGCGUGGGCCGAACCCCUGGUCUGGGGUUUGGACGACCCAGGGCCCAGGCUUAACUCCCCUCUAUAUAAGUCAAGGCAAGGCUCCUCUCCAACAGAGCUGCACCAGCAAUGGAUGAACAAUGUGAUUCAUGCCACUCAGGAAGUGAUUGUCCUAACAACAACAAUAGAUUCUGCCCGAACAACUACAGCAGCCAAGGGUGGAACUCAAGGCCAAAUCUCACCUUCGAUCGUCCCUAGGGAGGUAACGAUUUCAAUAAUGGCAAUAAUUUCAGCAAUCAACCUUCCAUUAAUGAUCUUAUGCUAGGUCAAAUAAAAAUUAUUGUAAAUAUCAGUCAAAAGUUCCAUACCACUGAUAAAAUUGUGGAAAAGCAUAGAUUCAAAGAUGAAAUCUCUCUUCUACAUUUUUUUAAUUAUGAAAAAAAUUCCGGCCUUGAUCAUUCUUAUGUGAAUGACUACAGUCAAAAUAGUUACAAGAGUUUUUAGACUCUAUACCUCAAACGAGGGAUUUCACAAAUACAAGAAAAAGAAGCUAUAAGACAAAGAAAGAAACCUAGAAAAUUAAACUUGAAACUUCUUCUUCAUUCCCGCUUCAAUCUUGCAAUGUAUAUUUACGCGUACCAAUCCAGCACAUCCCUCGCUUGCUUAGAAGCUUGAUGUCCGGAUGGUUUGUUGCUUGUCCUCUUACAUAAACCUCUAUCUGGCGCAUGGGUAGAAGGAUAUAUUGACAUUGCCUCCAGGAAAGGAAUGGCACCAAAUGAUGUCACCAAUGCCGACGUCUGCAUUAUGCUGGUCAAGGAUUACCUCGAAUGGUUUUCCGUAUGACCCAACUUUUUACGGACCUGGAAACAGUAGGAUAGCACAUCGACAUAGCCUCUAAUGAGGAAAGCCUUGUAACAAGCAGCACCAUUGCCGGCCGACACAACGCCAACUGAGAUUUCUCCCUGUACUCUCAGAGCCAAGUCUGCAUGGCAGCACAAGAAUGUCGAGUUGUCGACCACCGAUGAAGUUACCUUGCUCUCUGCUACUCGCUACCAGCCAAAUGCCCACUCGCAGACUCAAGUUGGCGACCGGCUCGAGAGCUGAAACUGUUUCCAUCUGCUGUUGCGCCGACCGCUGGGCCGAAACUGGAUCUCCACCCGAAUGGAAUCUGAUGAAGGGGGAGCAGAGCCAUGCCCGCUCACCGCUGCACGGCUCCCCACAGCAGGAGCGGCGCGUCGCCAGAAGCCCCGUUGUGAUGCGCGCACAAGAGACGGCGUCGCAGCAGCACCGGCCGGCAUCCCCGCCAAUGGCACCAACGAAGUGCCCGUUCGAACUACAUGGCACGUUUGGUGCAGCAGCAGCCAUGAGGGGACAGAUCCAGGGUCCACAACCCCGGAUCUAUCAACCAGGAGGUUGCUCGAAGCAAGCAGGAAGACUGAUGGAGCAACUGGAUCUUUAUGGAGAAAAGAGAGAAGAAGGACAUCAAAGAAGAGAUGGAGAAGAUGUGCACGGCCAUCGGCUUCGGCACCGCCAUGGGCCGCCGCCGCCGCCGCCGCCUGCUGGGCGCCGGCGCCGGCGCCCAAGGGAAGGCCCGCGCGAGGGGAGCCUGGAGGCAGGCGGUGGAGUCGCUCAUUCUCGUAAAAAACCAAUUGAGUUUUAGUAAAAUGAUAGAAGCUCAAAUAAUUUAAUUUGCUACAUCCAUACCUUUAACUGAAACGAGAGAAUUCCUAGACCAACUCAAAAAUUCUCCUUGUGAAAUGACAAAAGCGGCGACCAUGAGGGGAUGUAAUUCCACUCGAGGCCCGCCAUAUUCAACUGAUGGAGUCAGGAUAAAGAAGGAAAUACAGGCAAAAGAGAGUGAAGAUGAGGAGGAAUCUGAGGACAACCCCCCAGAAAAAAGUUCCUGAGAAGAAGUCUGAAGAGAAAAUUGGAUGAGAGACAACACCACAUGAUUUCUACUAUUCAAUGGCUCAAUGCUACUACGAUUCCCGAGAAGUAGCAACAAAUCCACUAUGGAUGAACAGUUUGGGAGA